This 3116-nucleotide long non-coding RNA is filed under the name Cinara cedri. The record is from RNAcentral. Lineage: Eukaryota; Metazoa; Arthropoda; Insecta; Hemiptera; Aphididae.
ACUGGUCUUACAUAAAAAAAUGUAUUCAAUUUUUUUUCUUUUAUAAUUAAUAGUUUUUAAGUUUCAAAUUAUAAUAAUGUAUAAAAUAUAAAGUAAUUCAAUAACAGACUGUGACGAAAAUUAAGGGUUGUGAAAUUGUAUUUAUUAUAUGAUUACCUGUACCACUAUAGAAAACAAUAAUAAUUUUUAAUCAUAUCGGUGACACGUCUUGUAUAGGCAAAUUCACAUUUGAAAUAUUAUAUAGUUAAUUCAUUUAGGAAUGUUUUAAGAUAAAAGUGGUUAUAAUAUACAGUCGUUCCACAUUAUUUGAUGCUUUUGAGUUUGCUAUAAUAUAAUAUUGCGAACUCGAUAUAUUUGUAUAUAAUUAGCGAACAGUUUAACGGAGCAUAAAAGAUAAUAGGUAAAGAAUAGAUUGGCGCCUAUCUAUUGUUUAAUCACUAACAUUUUACCAUUGCAAUUUUGUCUAUAUAGUAUAUAAUAUAUAAUAAUAAUAUAUGCGCAUACAGUGGUAUAUUAUAAGUACUGCUUUGAAAAAUAGUAUAUAUUAUAAUAUUAUUAUAUUCUUAUGUUAUAUUUUUUGACACGAUGGAAACAAAUCGUUUAAUAUUAAUGAUGCAAUAGAGAUAAUAUUUAAUUUUCUUUGAAAUCAAAACAUUAGAUUCAGGUAUGUUUAUUUUAUUAUUUAAAAUUAACCUCAGUAUGUAUCGACAUUCAGUGAGGGGGAAUGCCGUUUUAUUUUUUUCAAAUCGAAUUUCUCCACGUCUUAUUCUACGGAAAAUAAUUUUUAAUUUUUAUUAAUUCUAUAAUUAUUAUAAAACCUACUUAACAUGCAUUUCUCAUGAAAACGAUAUCACAAAACUGUUGUUAUCAUACAACUUCUAGGACCUCUAAAAUGGAUAUCUAGGAUUACAUAACUGUUUAUUUUGUUUUGUUUUUUUGCUUUUACAGUUUUACAAAUUAUUAAUGUACCCAACAAAAGGAUAAUAUAAAAGUAUACUAAGUAUAAAAAAGAGGUUACAUUUUUUUUUUUUUUCUAGGGCUUUAAUAUUAUUUAAGCCACGAUUAAUCUAAUUAUACUACAUCAACAAAAAAUGAAUAAUCAUUUUUAGACAGUGAAGGCAUUGACUGAAUUUUAAAUGACCCCUCACUAACUUUCAACCACUUCAACCACUGACUUAAAAAAUUAAUGUAGGUGAUUUAAAUAAACACAAUUAUUUCGAGACAAUUAUUACAGCCAUAAAUUAUUUUAUUAUAAUAUAAUUAUGUUAAGAGAAUAAUUUUGAUCAAAAACUUCCAUUGUUUUAUCAUUGAUUUUUAUUUAGUUAAAUGUUUAAUAUUGUUACCUAUCAUAUUAUUUAUAAUAUACCUUGACAGAAAAUGAUAAAAAAUUAUUAAUAUAUAUAUAUUUUUUUUUUUAUUACUAUAAUAAAGCAUAUUAUAUUUGAAUAAAUAGUAUACAAACUAUUAGGUGAAAUUAUCAAAAAUUAUACACAAAUUUUAACUUGUUCUAUUUUUUAUUAUAAUAAAAUAAUAUACAAAUUAAUGUUUUAUUUAAGUUAAAUAUCUAUAUUAUGUAUUAUGUAUGAAUGGUGCCAAAGCGAUAUUAAAUUUAAAGAAUGCCUAUACCAAAAAAUAUGUAUUACAAAAUAAAUAUUUUUUGAUUGAAAUCAAUUAUUAUAAAAUGAUAGGCUGUUUAUUAUAUAAUUAUGUUAUGUUAAACUAUAGUCAGAAACACUAGACCGUCGUUAAUAUUAAAUAUUUAGGCCUGAAACUAUUUUUGUUUGUGUAAAUUUGUUUUUCGUUUGUUUGUUUUAUUAUUAUAUAUUAUUUUAAGAAAAUAUAAUGUUGUUGUUGAAAUAAAUGUGUAAAAAUGAUUAAUUCGUGUUAACUCAUUUUAAAUAAUCGUAUGUAAUAAAAUGUUAAAAUUAAUAUAGUCGCAUACAAUUAUAAUACUGUCACUGAUUCGUUGACAACUUAGGAAAUUGGAAAAAAAGGUGUGCAGUAGGUACGUUAAUUAAACAUAUUUAAUUAUAGAUAGGUACGCACAAAAAAAAAAAAAAAAUCAAUAGUAAACAAAUAAUAUAAUAACUAUAUUGUUGUGACAUGUGAACAUUUAUUAUGCAAAAGUAACAGCUAAUUAUUUUUAUUAACUCUAUAAUUUUUAAGCCCAAAAUAUAUGAAUUUUUUCCGUCUAGAUUAGAAAAAUAUGUACACAAAUAUAUUAUUAAGUUUAAAAUUAUAAAUACUUAAUACAAUUCAGUAGAAAUAGCGGGUUACGUCAAUGUGUUGUCUCAAAUACCAGUUGGUUGUUUGAUACCGCAUCAGAGUUUACUGCUUACUUGCAUAAUCGAAUAAACAAUUUAUUCGGUUUUUUUGUAAACAGCAUUAGAAUUUUAUGCUAUUAUUUGCUUUGAAAACUAUAAUUAAACUAUACGUAUACCAAUAUAUAUUAUAAUGUACAUAUUUUAAUUCGUAAACAGCAUAUUUUGCUUGAUUCGCUAUUUUUCAAUUUCUUUGGAAGUAGAUACUAACGAAACGGACAUUUGACCCUCUCGAGCUGAAUAAUUAUUUUGAUUGUCUUCCAUUUCGAAAAUGAUUGUUAUUAUUUUAAUUGCUUAUAUAAUUACUGAAUAGUAUACUGUAUGUUCUUAUUGUACCUGUAACUAUAGGCUAUAAUAUACAUAACUUUAUUAUUUUCAAAUAAAACAACAUAAACCUAAUAAUAUAGUGUAAAAUAAUGAGUAAAUAUGUACCUAAGUGGCUGGAUAAUUUAAUAUUUUAUUUAAAAAUAAAACUAGUCUCAAUGUCACAGCAUCAGCCAGGUACUCAAAAUAUAAUUUUUUUUUUUUCGUUAUUGAAAGAAUACAAUAAUGUGCAAUUGUACACUAUGUAUAAUGUAAAAUAUCUAUAUUUAAAAAUGUCUAAUAUGAAAAGACAGCAAGACUCGCCACCCAUACGUAUCAUAUUAUACCUUUAAACCUAUGUAAAUACUUUUACAAAUUUUAAAAUGAUGUUCAAAUAAAUAAUUACCAAAAAUAUAUUUUAAUUAUUUUAUUUUGUCUAUGUAAUUUUGUUAUUUAGUUACUACUGUUCUGCCAACUCUUUCUAAAGCUUGU